AUUGAACGCUGGCGGCAGGCCUAACACAUGCAAGUCGAACGGUAGCACAGAGAGCUUGCUCUCGGGUGACGAGUGGCGGACGGGUGAGUAAUGUCUGGGAAACUGCCUGAUGGAGGGGGAUAACUACUGGAAACGGUAGCUAAUACCGCAUAACGUCGCAAGACCAAAGAGGGGGACCUUCGGGCCUCUUGCCAUCAGACGUGCCCAGAUGGGAUUAGCUAGUAGGUGGGGUAACGGCUCACCUAGGCGACGAUCCCUAGCUGGUCUGAGAGGAUGACCAGCCACACUGGAACUGAGACACGGUCCAGACUCCUACGGGAGGCAGCAGUGGGGAAUAUUGCACAAUGGGCGCAAGCCUGAUGCAGCCAUGCCGCGUGUAUGAAGAAGGCCUUCGGGUUGUAAAGUACUCUCAGCGGGGAGGAAGGGAGUAAGGUUAAUAACCUUGCUCAUUGACGUUACCCGCAGAAGAAGCACCGGCUAACUCCGUGCCAGCCGCCGCCGUAA
RNAcentral lists this ribosomal RNA (504 nucleotides) under uncultured bacterium. RNAcentral describes it as "partial 16S ribosomal RNA". It matches the Rfam family "Bacterial small subunit ribosomal RNA", at positions 30 to 523 of the family's 1533-position model. The record is from RNAcentral.